Molecule: ribosomal RNA, 230 nt
Filed under: uncultured bacterium
Lineage: Bacteria
Description: partial 16S ribosomal RNA
Rfam family: Bacterial small subunit ribosomal RNA
Source: RNAcentral
UUAAGGGUGCGUAGGCGGUUAUUAAGUCAGUGGUGAAAGACGGUCGCUCAACGAUUGCAGUGCCAUUGAUACUGGUAGACUUGAGUGAGAUUGAGGUAGCUGGAAUGGAUAGUGUAGCGGUGAAAUGCAUAGAUAUUAUCCAGAACACCAAUUGCGUAGGCAAGUUACUAAGUCUCAACUGACGCUGAGGCACGAAAGUGUGGGUAUCAAACAGGAUUAGAUACCCUGGU